UGGAAAGGAGAAGCACAAACGUUGACACCAGGGGAAAGACUUCAAAAGCAAGAACGACAGAGACAGAUACACAGCAAGAGAGGCCAGAGGAGAGUUUCAAAGAGUCAAAGGGGAAGGGAUUCCUGUUGUCGAGAAAAACCUGCUUCACAAAAGGGAAAAUCAAACUGAUGAAAAGCAAGAAGGCCAUUUCGUGGGGGACGACGGCCAUUUCCAGGACCAAAACCAAACUGAGGAAGGGAGAGACUGCAUUUGUGGUGGGUACAACUACAAUCACUCACAGGGAGACCACUAGUUCUUUGAGCAAGGCCACUUUGAGUCAAGGAGAGAAAUCUGUGACUGUGGUCAAAACGUCCAUCAAAAGAGGCAAGGAGUCUCAAUGGAACCUCUACUGGGAUUUUCAUCUGUGACAAAUGUAACCAUAAACAGUAAAUGUACGUGCUCAAAGACUUUGUUCUAGACCGUUCAAGCAGGCAGGACCAGGAUAUGUUGAUUCCUAUAAAAUGUUCCACCCAUUCAUCCAAUCAAUCCAGACUGACUUCAGAUUGGAAAUACAAGACAAAUUUAAAUCUCAGUUGUUUACCACAGUUCGAGAUCAAACAUCCGCAUUCAUACAGUGGUGUCCAAAUAUCUGAGACCACAUUGAAAAUCUGGCAUUCAAAAUGCAACUUAAGCCGGUAAAUCAACAAGAAGUUUCUGAAUAAAAAAAAAUGAAACAUGCUUUCUGGAACACACUUGUCAGAUCAUGCUGGUAGAACAUUUUAUGUUGUCAUUAAACCAAAAUGGAGGCAUACCAAAAAAUAGAAAGAUGGUGAAAGAAUUGCUCUGAAUGAAUGAACUGAAUUUACAAAAAGUAAUUUCUGACUCUCUCACCUUGAUCUCCAAAACCUCCAAACAAAGCAUCUCUAAAAUCAAAAUAUCAUACACAAAACAAAAGCUCGGUUCCGCUGAUACGAAGACUGACUCAAAAGCUCAUCCUUGCAGAAUUCUUGAAUCAUUGGAGACCACGCUGUCACGUUAUGUGAAGGACUUUCUUAAAGAGAUGGCACUCCCGUGUUAUUUGAAAGCCAAGCAUAGGGGGCAUCAACAAGAGCCUUUCUUUGACCGCUGGAACUCUUACCUCUCAACUGGGAUGCAUUAUCAUGCCCCAUUAUACAUUUUCAUUAUGUUCCAAACCCCUAAACCUGCUCUCACAAAGAUGCCACAGAUCAACAUUACUGUAUCCCAUUGUCUUACGUACUGUAUUCUUGACUUGGAUAUCAAAACAAUGUUACGUUUACACAUUUGGAAGACAAGCCGCUAGAGAAGACCAACCAACAAACGCGUAAACGUUUUAAGUAUAUAGCCUUAUAAUGAAUCUCUGGGAUAUUUAGUCCCCCUAAAAUUGACAUUUGUUUAGUCUGGGUUUACGUUUGUGUAAACUGUGUGACUGUUUAGUUCUAUUAUUUCAGUGAUCCAGAUCAUAUGUGUGUAACUAUUGUAAAAGAAGCAACAGAUAGCAAUACCACUAAUUUUAGCACAGAAUGAACUCAGCUUUGAGAUAAGAAAUGGGUGUGGUUAUUGGUUGUGUGCUUACAAUGUGAAUCUAACUAUGUUUUCUGUUGGUCAGAACCCUUCUCCACAAUGUCAGCUGCUCUCGUUUUAGAUAUAGAUGGUUGAUAUACAUUAAGUGGAUUUGCCCUUAUACACAUAUACUAUUAUUCAAGCUACAUAAGAGCUCUGUGGGCCUUAUCUGCUAUUCUUCAUUGAACAUAUACUAUACUCAUGUUGAUUUAGGGUUACUGAAAAUGUAUUUGGUCACUAAAGACAAACCACUAGGAUGAUGCCACAGUAGCAUUCCCACUAAAAUAGAACAUUUUAAAAGCUGUUAUCGAUGUGGGCCGAGAGACAUGACAAUGAGGAUGAGGGUUUGGUGAUUGAGAGUGAAGGAAAUAAAACGUAAUGGUCUCCUGAUCUCAACAUACCAGUGAACUACAGACAGCUGAUAAAGACACGGGACAUCGUGUCCUUAUGAGCACAAAGUAAUUUGAGCUAAUUUAUUUGAUCCAAUUUAAUUGUGUAUUAUUUGAGAUUUCUUUGCUAGCAUCCGUCACUUAACAUUCAAAUUUGAAUUCUUUAUUUUUUUCUCGUCAAGUGUCCUGUGUGACUUGUCUUUAAAUGUUACAACAGCUCUGUCAGGGCCAAACAAGGAAUGUGGGUAGCAGAUGAAGUGCCCCUGCCUUUUACAACAAAAGCGUCUUUGUGUCUGUAAUAAUCUGUGAGGUCUGAAGUCCUUUUUGUCAUUCUAUCACGUUUAUUGUUUCCACACUGCAUUAGCAUAGUAUGUGUUAGAUGCGUUUAACAGCUUCUACGUUAUGCCAGACAGAUGGUAGAACUUUGGAAAGUUUGGUUCUGACCAUGAUGCUGUACGCCUAAUAAAUAUGUGCUUACAUUAAAGAAGUAUGAUUUAUUGUCUUCU
This is a long non-coding RNA of Triplophysa rosa, 2455 nucleotides long. RefSeq lists it as uncharacterized. The transcript is spliced from 4 exons. Lineage: Eukaryota; Metazoa; Chordata; Actinopteri; Cypriniformes; Nemacheilidae. The record is from RefSeq and is a predicted model, not a curated record.